UGAACAUAUGGAAGAUAGAGUGUUGUGUGUGAGGAACAGAAAGGAAGUCAAAUGUCACUGGAGCCUGUCAAGCAUUCCGAUGUCUUGCUAGAGGAAUGGAGCUCAAUCACCUGACAGGACUCCCCAAAAGAAUGUACAUGG
This 141-nucleotide long non-coding RNA is filed under the name Monodelphis domestica (gray short-tailed opossum). RNAcentral describes it as "lncRNA (ENSMODG00000037611.1)". Lineage: Eukaryota; Metazoa; Chordata; Mammalia; Didelphimorphia; Didelphidae. The record is from RNAcentral.